Stylophora pistillata is the source of this 1137-nucleotide long non-coding RNA. The record is from RefSeq and is a predicted model, not a curated record. Lineage: Eukaryota; Metazoa; Cnidaria; Anthozoa; Scleractinia; Pocilloporidae.
CGCCAAUCAGAUUCAAGCCACACCCACCAGCUUUGCUACUUAGCAUGAACACAAAGUCACUACCCUAAAGCAAGAAAUGACGAGGUAGAUGGACCUAUAAUCAGACGAGCUUACAUACAUAAGUGGCAGGGCUUAUGAGCAACUGUUUGUCUAAUGUCAUGGUCUAUCUGAACCAGGACUGAGGUUACCAGCCCCUGGUCAGAUUAUGUAUCCCCAAGCUCCUCCUCAAACAGAGGAUCAAAGACCAGAAGUGAGAAAACAGGGGAAAGCAAUCCAACAGAGAGGAUAGAGGUAGAGGUAACCAAACCACAGGUGGUGGACGGAAAGGACCUCGACCAAACGUUUAUUGGUACAAGGAACUGCUGGUUUUUGAAUGAAUGUUAAGUCUGCCGUCUUUGUGGAGGUACAGUCACAUAGUUUUUGUCUUUCUUUGUUUUGUUACGUUUUUUGUUACGGGACAGUUCGUCCACCUUGAGUAAUCUAGCCUAAAGUUUUUAAGAUCAUUUUGUUCAACAAGUGGAAAUCUUGUUCAUUCUCAGCAAUCCUUGUUUGGUACUAUUCCAUCGCCGGGAUUGACAAAAAAAAAUUGUUUUUCCUUUCAUUUUUAAUAAAUACAUUUUAAUUCCAGGCAGAAAGAUUAUAAGGAAAGAAAAUAUCAGUAAGAAGAUAUUAAUUGAUUUAACAUAAAAUUCUAAGGGCCAACUUGCAAGAAAUCUAUGAUAUCUUGGGAUUGAAAGGGUACUGAGGUACAAUUCUCUCUGACAUCGUGACUACGUAAAAAACUAAAAAUGAGUCGAAAUUCCGUAACAAAGUCCUUUACGAAUGAAACAGCCCCUACUGGGUAGCAUGACAAAAUGGUAGAGUUACAUUUGCUAUACCUCAGAUGAUUUGGGUAUAGUUCAUUUUCAAUAAUGUUUUAUUUCAACUGCACCACUCAGUCUAUCAAUCCUCCACAUUGUCGGAAACACAUUUCGAAUAGUUUUGGAUCUGAGAAGUGUCACCUUUCUUCCUGAAAGAACAUAGAUAUUGGAAGGGGAAUUCAGUUUUGGACACUCCUAGAAGAGAAACACACAUCGUUUUCAGUAUUCGUGGAGUUCUGUGGCGUGAAGCGGCUGGGACUGUUGCUACGUAGUUCCG